CCCCUAGAUGUUCUGGGCCGCACGCGCGCUACACUGAACAGUUCAACAAGUCUUAACCUUGGCCGAUAGGUCUGGGUAAUCUUUGAACGCUGUUCGUGAUUGGGAUAGACCUUUGCAAUUAUGGGUCUUCAACGAGGAAUUCCUAGUAAACGCAAGUCAUCAGCUUGCAUUGAUUACGUCCCUGCCCUUUGUACACACCGCCCGUCGCACCUAGCGAUUGAAUGGUCCGGUGAAAUCUCGGGACGGCGGCUUGGUCGCUUGCGUCCGACUGCUGAAACUUGAUUAAACCAUAUCAUUUAGAGGAAGGUGAAGUCGUAACA
Molecule: ribosomal RNA, 320 nt
Filed under: uncultured eukaryote
Lineage: Eukaryota
Description: partial 18S ribosomal RNA
Rfam family: Eukaryotic small subunit ribosomal RNA
Source: RNAcentral